CCUACGGGAGGCAGCAGUGGGGAAUUUUGGACAAUGGGGGCAACCCUGAUCCAGCAAUGCCGCGUGUGUGAAGAAGGCCUUCGGGUUGUAAAGCACUUUUGUCCGGAAAGAAAACCCAGAUCCUAAUAUGGUCGGGGGAUGACGGUACCGGAAGAAUAAGCACCGGCUAACUACGUGCCAGCAGCCGCGGUAAU
Molecule: ribosomal RNA, 194 nt
Filed under: uncultured bacterium
Lineage: Bacteria
Description: partial 16S ribosomal RNA
Rfam family: Bacterial small subunit ribosomal RNA
Source: RNAcentral